RNAcentral lists this ribosomal RNA (435 nucleotides) under uncultured bacterium. Its description in RNAcentral is "partial 16S ribosomal RNA". It matches the Rfam family "Bacterial small subunit ribosomal RNA", at positions 29 to 507 of the family's 1533-position model. The record is from RNAcentral.
AGCGAACGCUGGCGGCAGGCUUAACACAUGCAAGUCGAGCGGGCACUUUCGGGUGUCAGCGGCGGACGGGUGAGUAACGCGUGGGAACGUGCCCUCUGGUUCGGAAUAACUCAGGGAAACUUGAGCUAAUACCGGAUACGCCCUUUUGGGGAAAGGCUUGCUGCCGGAGGAUCGGCCCGCGUCUGAUUAGCUAGUUGGUGAGGUAACGGCUCACCAAGGCGACGAUCAGUAGCUGGUCUGAGAGGAUGAUCAGCCACGCUGGGACUGAGACCCGGCCCAGACUCCUACGGGAGGCAGCAGUGGGGAAUAUUGGACAAUGGGCGCAAGCCUGAUCCAGCCAUGCCGCGUGAGUGAUGAAGGCCUUAGGGUUGUAAAGCUCUUUUAUCCGGGACGAUAAUGACGGUACCGGAGGAAUAAGCCCCGGCUAACUUCGUG